GAACGAUGAAACUUUACUGACUUCUUCGGAAAGAUUUAAAGCGGAUUAGUGGCGGACGGGUGAGUAACACGUGAGUAACCUGCCUUACACAAGGGGAUAGCCGUUGGAAACGACGAAUAAUACCCUAUGAAACUAUCACUUCGCAUGAAGCGAUAGUCAAAGUGUUAGCGGUGUAAGAUGGACUUGCGUCUGAUUAGCUAGUUGGUGAGAAAAAAAGCCCACCAAGGCAACGAUCAGUAGCCGGCUUGAGAGAGUGUACGGCCACAUUGGGACUGAGACACGGCCCAGACUCCUACGGGAGGCAGCAGUGGGGAAUUUUGCACAAUGGGGGAAACCCUGAUGCAGCGACGCCGCGUGAUUUAGAAGGCCUUCGGGUUGUAAAAAUCUUUUGUAUAGGAAGAAAAUGACAGUACUAUACGAAUAAGGUCCGGCUAAUUACGUGCCAGCAGCCGCGGUAAUACGUAAGGACCGAGCGUUGUCCGGAAUCAUUGGGCGUAAAGGGUACGUAGGCGGGUCAUUAAGUUAGAAGUCAAAGGCUAUAGCUCAACUAUAGUAAGCUUCUAAAACUGGAGACCUUGAGUAAUGGAAGGGAAAGUGGAAUUCCUAGUGUAGCGGUGGAAUGCGCAGAUAUUAGGAGGAAUACCGGUGGCGAAGGCGACUUUCUGGCCAUUAACUGACGCUGAGGUACGAAAGCGUGGGUAGCAAA
RNAcentral lists this ribosomal RNA (706 nucleotides) under uncultured Eubacteriales bacterium. Its description in RNAcentral is "bacterial SSU rRNA". It matches the Rfam family "Bacterial small subunit ribosomal RNA", at positions 64 to 772 of the family's 1533-position model. The record is from RNAcentral. Lineage: Bacteria; Bacillati; Bacillota; Clostridia; Eubacteriales.